RNAcentral lists this transfer RNA (65 nucleotides) under Malaccina sinica. RNAcentral's name for it is "tRNA-Pro". Lineage: Eukaryota; Metazoa; Arthropoda; Insecta; Blattodea; Blattellidae. The record is from RNAcentral.
CAAGGAGUAGUUUAUAUAAAAUGUUAAUUUUGGGGAUUAAUGAAGAAGAAGUACUUUCUCUUUGA